RNAcentral lists this ribosomal RNA (411 nucleotides) under uncultured bacterium. Its description in RNAcentral is "bacterial SSU rRNA". It matches the Rfam family "Bacterial small subunit ribosomal RNA", at positions 29 to 429 of the family's 1533-position model. The record is from RNAcentral.
AGCGAACGCUGGCGGCGCGCCUAAUACAUGCAAGUCGAGCGAGAAGACGUAGCAAUACGUUUGUAAAGCGGCGAACGGGUGAGGAAUACAUGGGUAACCUACCCUCGAGUGGGGAAUAACUAGCCGAAAGGGACGCUAAUACCGCAUAACAUCCUGCCUUUGAAGAGGUGGAGAUCAAAGCUGGGGACCGCAAGGCCUGGCGCUGGAAGAGGGGCCCGCGUCUGAUUAGCUAGUUGGUGAGGUAACGGCUCACCAAGGCAACGAUCAGUAUCCGGCCUGAGAGGGCGGACGGACACACUGGGACUGAGACACGGCCCAGACUCCUACGGGAGGCAGCAGUGGGGAAUUGUUCGCAAUGGGCGCAAGCCUGACGACGCAACGCCGCGUGGAGGAUGAAGACCUGGUCGUAAC